This 46-nucleotide non-coding RNA is filed under the name Plasmodium falciparum 3D7. The record is from RNAcentral. Lineage: Eukaryota; Apicomplexa; Aconoidasida; Haemosporida; Plasmodiidae.
CCGGCAUUAAUAAUUGGCUUGCUUGAAGAAGAAACAGCAAUAUCGA